GAUGAACGCUAGCGGCAGGCUUAAUACAUGCAAGUCGUGGGGCAGCAGGGGCGUAGCAAUACGCUCGCUGGCGACCGGCAAACGGGUGCGGAACACGUACACAACCUUCCUUUAAGUGGGGAAUAGCCCGGGGAAACCCGGAUUAAUACCCCGUAACAUAAUGAAGUGGCAUCGCUUUAUUAUUAUAGCUCCGGCGCUUGAAGAUGGGUGUGCGACUGAUUAGGCAGUUGGCGGGGUAACGGCCCACCAAACCUACGAUCAGUAACUGGUGUGAGAGCACGACCAGUCACACGGGCACUGGGACACGGGCCCGACUCCUACGGGAGGCAGCAGUAAGGAAUAUUGGUCAAUGGACGCAAGUCUGAACCAGCCAUGCCGCGUGGAGGAUGAAGGUCCUCUGGAUUGUAAACUUCUUUUAUCUGGGAAGAAAUCCAUGAAUUCUUUUGUGGUUGACGGUACCAGAUGAAUAAGCACCGGCUAACUCCGUGCCAGCAGCCGCCGUAA
RNAcentral lists this ribosomal RNA (504 nucleotides) under uncultured bacterium. Its description in RNAcentral is "partial 16S ribosomal RNA". It matches the Rfam family "Bacterial small subunit ribosomal RNA", at positions 28 to 523 of the family's 1533-position model. The record is from RNAcentral.